RNAcentral lists this ribosomal RNA (1318 nucleotides) under metagenome. RNAcentral describes it as "SSU rRNA". It matches the Rfam family "Eukaryotic small subunit ribosomal RNA", at positions 230 to 1608 of the family's 1831-position model. The record is from RNAcentral.
UUCCGCAAGGAAUGUGAUGAAUCAUAGUAAUCGAACGAAUCGCAGGUAUAUGCGAUAAGUCAUUCAAGUUUCUGCCCUAUCAGCUUUGGAUGGUAGUGUAUUGGACUACCAUGGCAGUCACGGGUAACGGAGAAUUAGGGUUCGAUUCCGGAGAGGGAGCCUGAGAAACGGCUACCACAUCUACGGAAGGCAGCAGGCGCGCAAAUUGCCCAAUCCCGACACGGGGAGGCAGUGACAAGAAAUAACAACUCUAGGUUUUCUUAGAAGUGUAAUGAGGAUAAUUUACAAACCUUACCAAAUGCAAUUGGAGGGCAAGUCUGGUGCCAGCAGCCGCGGUAAUUCCAGCUCCAAUAGCGUAUAUUAGAGUUGUUGCAGUUAAAAAGCUCGUAGUUGAAAAUCUGAUUGCUCAGGUCUCCAGCCUUUAGGCGGGGAUUCUGACAGUCAUCCGCUUGCAAACAUAUGUUCGAUCUUCACCGGUUGGCUAUGUGAGUAAGCACUUUACCUUGAGAAAAACAGAGUGUUCCAGGCGGGUUUGUCCGGAAUGCAUUAGCAUGGAAUAAUAGAACAUGACUGAAGUCUAUUUAUUGGUUAAAGGCUUUAGUAAUGAUUAAUAGGAACAGUCGGGGGCAUUCGUACUCAGCAGUCAGAGGUGAAAUUCUAAGAUUUGCUGAAGACGAACUAAUGCGAAAGCAUUUGCCAAGGAUGUUUUCAUUAAUCAAGAACGAAAGUUAGGGGAUCAAAGACGAUCAGAUACCGUCCUAGUCUUAACUAUAAACGAUACCGACUCGGAUUCAGAUGAAUCAAAAAGUUCAUUUGGGACCGUAGGAGAAAUCAAAGUCCUUGGGUUCUGGGGGGAGUAUGGUCGCAAGGCUGAAACUUAAAGGAAUUGACGGUUUUGCACCACCAUGGAGUGGAGUUUGCGGCUUAAUUUGACACAACACUGGGAAACUCAUCAGGGCAAGAAGAUUUUAGGAUUGACAGAUUGAGAGUUCUUUCUUGAUUGGUCUAGUGGUGGUGCAUGGCCGUUCUUAGUUGGUGGAGUGAUUUGUCUGGUUAAUUCCGUUAACGAACGAGACCUUAACCUACUAACUAGUGUUCCGAUCUCAAAUCGGAAGCACUUCUUAGAGGGACUAUGUGAUGUAAUCACAUGGAAGUUUGAGGCAAUAACAGGUCUGUGAUGCCCUUAGAUGUCCUGAGCUGCACGCGUACUACAAUGGCACUUUCAACGAGUUUUUCCUGAUCCGAAAGGAUUUGGGUAAUCUUUUUAGUGAGUGCCGUGAUUGGGAUAGAUCUUUGUAAUUGUGGAUCUUGAACUAGG